This 509-nucleotide long non-coding RNA is filed under the name Brassica napus (rape). Its description in RNAcentral is "long non-coding RNA (BNAP_LNC022241)". The record is from RNAcentral. Lineage: Eukaryota; Viridiplantae; Streptophyta; Magnoliopsida; Brassicales; Brassicaceae.
UAGAAAACACUGUCUACCAUGUAGGCUACAGGUGUUGUGAAUCCAGAGGAAAACCAGCUCCCACGGUUCAUCUCUGAUAUUGUGGGCACUACGCCAGUACAUACACUUUCAAGUUAAGGUUGACCUUACAAUUUUACUUCCAAUCAUAAGACGUUUACUAUUACAAACAAAUGAAAAAAAUUGUACUUAUCUAUAAAAAUCUAGCCUUCUACUAUGUUUUUUCGGGCAAAUGUUAGCCUCAUUCUUUCAAUUUGCAAAUAAUACAUUACUCAAUUAAACGCUUGCUUUUAUAAUUAUAUAUAUUAGUUACACCAAAAACACGCACAAAAUACCAACAACAUACCAACAAAAAUAAUGGUCGAGUAGCAAGUUAAAAACGGAUAGAAAAUGCUUUCCCAUAACUCACCCGUAAAAUACAUAAAAACACCAAAAUGCCAAGACAAUCUCAAAAACAGAAAAUUUCAAUACCCAAAUUACUAAACUACAAAAUAUUUAAUGACUAACAUCAC